AGCCCCGUCGUCUAGAAACUUUGCAGAUGUGUGCUUAGGACAAAGUUUCAUCAAAGGUCCUGAGUUAGACCCUGGUCAAGGAUAGCGGGUUCUGGUCCCGUUGACAUCGGUUCGAAUCCGGUCGGGGCUA
This 130-nucleotide transfer RNA is filed under the name Microcaldota archaeon. RNAcentral's name for it is "tRNA-Gln". The stretch from base 56 to 130 matches the Rfam family "tRNA". Rfam says of the family: Transfer RNA (tRNA) molecules are approximately 80 nucleotides in length. Lineage: Archaea; Nanobdellati; Microcaldota. The record is from RNAcentral.